UACAGAGGGUGCGAGCGUUUAAUCGGAAUUACUGGGCGUAAAGCGUGCGUAGACGGUUAUUUAAGUCGGGUGUGAAAGCCCCGGGCUCAACCUGGGAAUUGCAUUCGAGACUGAAUAGCUAGGGUACGGUAGAGGGAAGUGGAAUUUCCGGUGUAGCGGUGAAAUGCGUAGAUAUCGGAAGGAACAUCAGUGGCGAAAGCGACUUCCUGGACCAGUACCGACGUUCAGGCACGAAAGCGUGGGGAGCAAACAGGA
This 255-nucleotide ribosomal RNA is filed under the name uncultured bacterium. RNAcentral's name for it is "partial 16S ribosomal RNA". It matches the Rfam family "Bacterial small subunit ribosomal RNA", at positions 524 to 777 of the family's 1533-position model. The record is from RNAcentral.